UCACCUUCGGUAGCCACAGUAGCCAUCAGCUCGUUAAAGUUUGCAGUCUUCCCAACUUUCAAGUAAUAUUUCAAUCUAAAACACCAUUUAUCACAUGUAGCACUUAGAAAUCAACACUACAAAAUUUCUAUUUAUUUAUGGAAUUUUUUUAUGGAAGUUUUUUAAAACCUUCCCAACACAUUUUAUUUAUGGCAAUUUAAAAAAUCUCCAUUAAUUAAAAUUCUAAAUUAUUAAUGAAAAGUAUAUCGUGUGAAAAUGGAAUUUGAGCAUGGUUGCUUGAUUUCCAUUUUGUUCCAUGCUAAUUUUCUCUUUUUCCCCAAAUAAGAGGCGCUGAGUUAGCCGAGAGAGGGGCAUGAAACCCUAAGUUUUCUACCGCUAUUUUUGCCAUCAUUCUCACCGCCGUUUUCGCCUCUGGCACCGUUAUCAUUGCCGUGUCCGUUGCAGUAGAGAGCUUCUAGAUCGAGCCACCUCUUCUAUUAACGCAUCUGUUCUCUCUAUACUGUCGUUGCUGCCAUUGUUGCCACCGCAGUUUUUGUCGCCGUUGCCGCCACAUUUUCUUCCGUCGAUGCCACUGUAGUUGCCGUGGAUUGCGGUGUUCGAGCAAAUAGGAAUUGGAAAGAAUGCCAGUCACUCUCAAUGCAAUUAUCUUAUUGACUCAAUGCAAUGAUCCUUUUGGAGCAGUCAAUAAUCCGCUCUACCAGAUUACUACUAUUAAGCAGGUGAAGCUUUGAUUUUUUGAUACACACUGUGACAUGAACCUUUCCAAUGUAUUUGGACAUAAAUAUGUCUAGAUACAUUGAUUUUCCGAUGUACCGAAAAAGUAAGAGUGCCAAUUGGAAUGGAAGGAGUAGUUUUCUCUUGAUCUCAUUAUAUUUAUUGACCAGUACUCUAUUCAUGCAGCCUAAUGGAAUAGAAAAUGGUCCUUAUGAUUAUACCAGAAAUGGAAAUCUCACUCGAGAUGCUUUAAAAAGGUUUACUGUGUCCUGUUAGUUGUGUUUGUUUACCAUUGUAACUGCCAAUAUUGUGGCAUUAAUGUUUUCUUUUUUCACCACGUUUUACCUUGCAUGCUGUGUUCUCAAUUUGUUGGCGAAACAUGAUGGAUAGAGCCCUAUGCUUCAUCAGUGGAAUGGCUGUUCUGAGUGCUGUUUCUCAUCUUGUUUAAGUGAAAAAAUUGUUGCUGGAGAUGAUCUAUAUGGUGGAACAGACAGGUUGAUGUCCCGAAUAAUUUCAAAUAAUGGCAUUGUGGUCAAGUUAGUCUAACUUACUGAUUGGAAAAGGUGGCUUUUUCCCCCUUACAAUGCACUUCAGUGAAGACCUACCCUAGCAAGCCUCCGAAGUGUAAAUUCCCACAAGGCUUCUUCCACCCUAAUGUCUAUCCAUCUGGAACUGUUUGCUUGUCUAUACUUAAUGAAGAUAGUGGGUGGAGACCAGCUAUAACAGUGAAGCAAAUUCUUGUUGGUAUCCAGGAUUUGCUUGACCAGCCAAAUCCUGCUGAUCCUGCUUAGACAGAGGGAUAUCAUCUAUUUAUCCAGCUAUCUAACCUAAGAAAUUGGACAUUUUUUUCUUUCUUUUGUAGUAACUUUCAGAGUUUAAAGAAUGACUGAUCAUAUAAUCCAUACUGAUCAGGGAUAUCAUUUGCUUUUCACACUAUUUUUCUUGAUAAUUAUCUUGAUAUUUGAUCUUUAUCUUGCAAUUUGUAAUCGAUUAAAAGUUUUUAUGAUAUAUUAUUAGGAUAUUGGUGUGGGAAGAUGGAUUCUGCAACUUUGCAGCGUCAGCAGCAGCACCUGAAAUAAACUCUGGUUGAUAGGGAAAGUUGCUGCAGAUCACAGUCACAAAUGGAUAUACAAAGAGCCUAAUGAACAAGAAAUCAACUUCUUGUCAGCGUGGCAUAAUUUGGCUGAUUCACAUCCUAGGACUUGGGAAGCACAGUUCCAAUCUCGAAUAAAAGACCAUAGCUCUCAUUACUGUAAGAGAAGGUGUUGUUCAAUUGGGAGCAAUUCACAAGGUGAUUGAGGACUUGAGCUAUGUGGUUCUACUGAGGAAGAAAUUCAGCUACACAGAAAGCAACAUAAAUUAACUUGAUAAUGUUAAAAGGUCUUUCAGGAUGGGGGACCUUCAGUGUAAUUAUAUACUAUUAAUGUUAAAAUUUUAGAGCUUAGUUUGUGCCUAUGCUUUAAAUUUUUUUAUGUGUAUUUGUUUUAUGUAAUUAGAUGAUAUUGAAAUAUUGAAGUUGUUUUAUUUUACUUUUUAAAAAAAAAAAACAGUAAUAGUUAUGUAGCACAAUACCAUAUGUAAUUAUGUUUGGAACUAUUGACAUUGAGAUUUUUUUUUA
Arachis stenosperma is the source of this 2332-nucleotide long non-coding RNA. RefSeq lists it as uncharacterized. The record is from RefSeq and is a predicted model, not a curated record. Lineage: Eukaryota; Viridiplantae; Streptophyta; Magnoliopsida; Fabales; Fabaceae. The transcript has 10 exons.